UACAGAGGGGGCGAGCGUUGUUCGGAAUUACUGGGCGUAAAGCGCUCGUAGGCGGCUUUGUAAGUCAGAUGUGAAAGCCUGGAGCUUAACUCCAGAAGUGCCUUUGAGACUGCAUCGCUUGAAUCCAGGAGAGGUGAGUGGAAUUCCGAGUGUAGAGGUGAAAUUCGUAGAUAUUCGGAAGAACACCAGUGGCGAAGGCGGCUCACUGGACUGGUAUUGACGCUGAGGUGCGAGAGCGUGGGGAGCAAACAGG
Molecule: ribosomal RNA, 253 nt
Filed under: uncultured bacterium
Lineage: Bacteria
Description: partial 16S ribosomal RNA
Rfam family: Bacterial small subunit ribosomal RNA
Source: RNAcentral